Molecule: RNA transcript, 3256 nt
Organism: Quercus lobata
Lineage: Eukaryota; Viridiplantae; Streptophyta; Magnoliopsida; Fagales; Fagaceae
Gene name: probable protein S-acyltransferase 15
Exons: 16
Source: RefSeq, a predicted model, not a curated record
GCCUCACAAGUCACAUCCGUACAGUAUUCUUGUAACCUUUCUUCGUCGGAAUGAGUUACAGUUUGAAGUAAGAAAAUGGCACAAAUUAAAUCACAUGAUCAGAGAAAGCCGUUGGAGUGGUGGAAGCUGAUUGGUCGGUGUACAGUGUCAUGUAUCAGUGUCUUGCUUUCUCAAUUUGCUCUCUCUUUGGUCCCUCGCUUCUUCUCUGCUUCCCCACUUAUCAUCCAACUCAUUCUCUCAGCUCUGGUGUUGUUAGUGGUUGUGGGUUUGGGGAGAUGUAGUAAAAGGCUUCUUGGAGUUUCUGGGUCAGCUUCGGCUUUUGUUUUCUUCAAUAUACUCUUCAUUUGGGCUGUUUAUUUAGCUGUUCUUAGACCAGCUGUAUUAUGUCUAAUGGAUAUUGCAUUUAACGGAGCAAUCACCAUGCUCAUCAUUGGGCUGUGUAGUAUCAUUUCAAGCAAUCCUGGUUUGGUAACAUAUGGGUCUUCAGAUGAACUUGUUGAAAGUUCAGUUGCUGAAGUUGAAGCUCAUAAUCGGAUACUGGAGCCAUCGGCAAGUGUCUUAUGUCAUGAAUACCCAACUGAAGGUUCUGUUUUGGGCAGGAGGGUAAGAUAUUGCAGAAUCUGCAAGGGAUACAUAAAGGGAUUCGAUCACCACUGUCCUGCUUUUGGGAACUGCAUAGGCCAAAACAAUCAUGUCCUCUUCAUGGUUCUUUUAGUUGGAUUUCUUUCUACUGAAGCUUCUUACGUAGCAUGUUCGUCCCAAUUUGCCGCAAAAUCCCAGAUUGUAGAUAAAACCAGAUUGGAGACUAGUCUGUCUGGAAAUCUGGCCAUUAGCACAAUGCUGUUCUCCAUUUUCCAAUUGCUAUGGCAGGCAGUGUUUAUGACGUGGCAUAUAUAUUGUAUAUGUUUCAACAUCAGAACAGAUGAAUGGAUAAACUGGAAGAAGUAUCCAGAGUUCCAAGAUGUUGUUCAUUCUCAACAAGGACCCUUACAUGUUAGACCCAAUGCUCAUGCCAGUUGGGAUCCCCAUAUUGUUCAACUAAAUGUGGAAGCUUCUAGUAGAGUGGCCCUCUUGGACUAGUCAAUUUAGCUUAUUCUAGUGUUUGUGGAGGCAAUCAGUUUACCAGUAUGGACAUGGUUUUGGCAUGACUACAUUGCAAUCUAUAAGACUAAACAAAGGGAAGGAGACCAAUCCGUGGAACAUCCUACUUGAGCAUGAUCCAGCACCUACCUAUUGAGUAACCAAUGUCCGAGCGGCUUAGAUGGGAAACGGAGGGACCUCAGACACUCCAUCAGGUGGGUUCAGACUGUUCAGUUAUAGUUUAACCUGAGUCUCAGUUUGUUUAAUUUCCGUUUAUUUUGUUAAAACUGAAAACUUUAAAAAAUUAGCUGAAAUAAUAUAACGAGACGCAUGAAUAGUAUUAAAAAGUGUAAUAGGACCUAUAAAUAGUUACAAAAAUAAGCUAAAUAGUAAAAUAAGUUGCUCCAAAUAAUCUUUUGCUGGAUGAGGUCUAACUCUCAUAUUUUUGCCGAAGAAGAAAAAAGAAACCUAAACGAUUAGAAUAGAACUUUCCAGAGUAGAAACAAAUCAUCAAUUAAGAUGGUCAUGAAACACAAAUGAAAUAGGUUUUAGCUAAAACCCCAUAAAGCACAUACAUAGCCCAGCACUUCUACCAUUUUUAACACAAAAAAACAACCCACGUUACUCAAAACCCAUAAUUUACAUAUCUACAUAGCUUAGCAAUUCUCCCUUGAUUUCUGAAAAUCAAAAUGAACCGUUGGAGAAUCUCCUAGUCAUGUUAGAUUUGGCUGCUAAGGCAACUCCUCAAGUACCUUAUUCCCAAGGAAAACAUCUGUAAGAACUGUGGUAGAGUCAAAUGAAGCCCUUACCAGCUCCAAGCCCUGAGUUCGAACACAUUCAAACCAGAUCAAUCACAUAUAUAAGCAGUUGAAAAUAAAAUUUAAACAACAUUUUGACUAGUAUCAUGUAAAAGAAAGCAAGAAAGGCUCUUUGAUAAAACCUUCUUCAUGUCAACCUCAACCUCCUUCUCCUGGAGGGAACUAAUAUCUUUGAUGUUUAAAUCGUUUAGAAGCGAAAUGCUAGAAAUGGUUGACAUGGGUUUCACCAUUAGAUCAUCCAUCACCAUAUAUACCACCGCACCUCUAACAUACCCUGUAUCCUUGUGUUGAGCCACCACUUUUUCCUGAGAGUAACCAAAUGAAUACGGGCUUCGCCCAACCGUAUCUUGUGAUCUUGAGAAAGCAGAACAGGGUGGAGGUGGAGAGGUAAAGUAGGAAGAGGUUGAACCAAAUACACAAUUAGAUGUUUUUUGUGCUUCAGUGCUGGUCAUUUGGUUUGGUGGUACAAAGUUCAGCAACAACUGGUAUAAGUGGCUGAUGAGAAGGCUGGGUUAGGCCUCAAGAGAGAAUCCUUGGUUAGGUUUGGUUGAACAUAGCAAGGGUCAAGGUUUUGGAUACUCUCAUAGACUUUACUCAAAGACCCUGACCCUGAAGCCAUGCCAUGAUUCCAAAGAAGUUCCAUUAUGGAACCAAGAGGUAUCUGUAGAAGUCCAAAGAGAAGUCCACAAAUUCCUUCCUGGCUUCUGCAUGCACCACCUUGUUAGAGCUGUUGUCUACAAGAAGGUUCAAGGUUAUAGUUUUGCUGCUCUUGGUAUUGGUAUUGGGUUCUGAUGCGUACAUCUUGUUGAUUAUGGGUUUUCUUUUUCUUUCUUUUUUACCUCAGCGUCCUGGUCUCUAUGGCCUAGUUAGGAGCGCAUAUGGAUGGAGGAUAUAUAGAUGCGGAGAAAAGAGAUUUAAGAGUGUAAGACUAUUGAUUACGAUAGCACGUGAUGCUGCAGCAAUGGAUAGGGUUAUACUUUAUAGUUCCUACGUGCCUAGCUACGUUGCAUCAGCUGUGCUACUCUUCUGCAAAGUCCUACGUUGAGUUUGACAGGAAAUUCAAAGGACAAAUACCCUCGUGGUUCCUCAAAUGGUGGGAAAUGUUUGGAUCAAUUCCACAGAACUUCCCAGAACCUCUACAGGAUGCACUAAGGUAUUUUAGCUCCAGAUUCCAGCAAACGAUGAUUGUGAAAGUGGAAGCAAGGAUGACUAUAGACUUCACCAAUGAAGGUGGAGGUUGGCAACAAUGGUGAUGGAGAUUUGAGGUUGUUUGGGUACAGGGAAGAAUGUGAGAUUUGUUUGGGUUUGAUAUGUUGGAUUCUAAUGUGUUAUUUAUUUAUUUACUUAUUUUUAGCUGA